Molecule: long non-coding RNA, 624 nt
Filed under: Mytilus galloprovincialis (Mediterranean mussel)
Lineage: Eukaryota; Metazoa; Mollusca; Bivalvia; Mytilida; Mytilidae
Source: RNAcentral
UUUUAUUUUUAUCGAGGACCUUGAAUUUCAAUAUUGUUGAAAGAUGGACAGACAUGUAUAAACUACAACCAGGGACUUUCUAUACUAGUAUAUACUUAGUAUAGAAAGUCCCUGCUACAACGAAUGGGAGUGUUUAACUAAGUCACUAAGGCAUUAACCAUAUUGUUCUAGUAUGAUCGGGAGAUGUUAAAAAAUGAUCCAACAGCUGAUUCAGCCGCUAACGAAUUUCCGAUAUCAUAAAAGAAUCACAAUACAAAGUGAAUUUCCUCUGCUUAAUUGAGCCCCUAAAUAAAUGUGAAUAGUUAGGUUUUAUUCAAAAUUGUCGAAAGCAAAGUUUCAUAUGUGUUCUUGUUUGAAUACUGAAUAACAGACAGACGGCCACACGAAAAAAUAAAAAUAAAACAAAUACAGAAACGGUUCACUAUCAAUCAAAAAUCCAGACAAUGACAGAUAUAUCAUGUAUCAUGAUAACACUGUUAAAACUGUAAACUUGUGUUGUUUAUGAUAUAAAUUCAAGUUCUUCUUGUACAUAUUGUCAAUAUUUCAUUUUAUUACUUUAAAAAAAAUGAAGCAGAAAAUUCAGGGGAGGCAGUUGCCUCCCCUGCCUCAUAGGUAGUUACGGCC